This 528-nucleotide ribosomal RNA is filed under the name bacterium enrichment culture clone Cont178_3130. Its description in RNAcentral is "bacterial SSU rRNA". It matches the Rfam family "Bacterial small subunit ribosomal RNA", at positions 8 to 525 of the family's 1533-position model. The record is from RNAcentral.
AGAGUUUGAUCCUGGCUCAGGACGAACGCUGGCGGCGUGCUUAACACAUGCAAGUCGAACGGUGACCUCGGAGCUUGCUCCGGGUGAUCAGUGGCGAACGGGUGAGUAACACGUGAGCAACCUGCCCCCGACUCUGGGAUAACCCCGGGAAAUCGGAGCUAAUACCGGAUACGAGACGUACAGGCAUCUGUUGCGUCUGGAAAGAAUUUCGGUCGGGGAUGGGCUCGCGGCCUAUCAGCUAGUUGGUGGGGUAGUGGCCUACCAAGGCGACGACGGGUAGCCGGCCUGAGAGGGCGACCGGCCACACUGGGACUGAGACACGGCCCAGACUCCUACGGGAGGCAGCAGUGGGGAAUAUUGCGCAAUGGGGGAAACCCUGACGCAGCGACGCCGUGUGAGGGAAGAAGGCUCUCGGGUCGUAAACCUCUGUCGGGAAGGAAGAACCUCUCAGGGCUGAACAAGCCCUGGGGACUGACGGUACUUCCAAAGGAAGCACCGGCUAACUCCGUGCCAGCCGCCGCGGUAAUA